GCUACCGCGCCAACGGAGCCUUUCAGAACGUUCUCUCCCCGAUGAAAGCCGUCAGUCUGUCGCUAUUUAAACGUGGAGCAUUUCAACAAAAUUUAAAGAGAAACUGGAAGGGUAGGGGUUGGAAUACUGUUUAAAAACACAGCCAGACCUCCUUGCUGGAGCUCCAAGACUCAACAACCACCUUGCAACCUGCUGAAGCCUAUAAGAUGGGUACCAUGAGCAUCCCCACUGAAAAGAUGUGGAAAUGGGAACAGCAAGUCCCAUGGCUACUAAACGGAUGAAGAGGAAUGCAAAGCCGGGUAAUCUGCCUCAAGAGCUCCUUGAUUAUACAUUCACCAUGCUGCCUCUGAAAUUUAGGACACAGUUACCCCUGCAAAAGAAGUAACAUACGGAACCCUGUGAAUUAGGCUGACUUCAUCCUGGAAUCACAGCGGGGCUUAAGGUCCCAGACCGCCAGCAGUAUGGAGAAUGGAGCCAGUAGUGGUGAUUUCUCCAUUUUUGCCUCUUCGUGAGCCUCACCAGCCCAGGCAUGAUGCUCUUUUCCACGUCCUAGGACUUCCCACUCUGACACAGGUCACCCAGUUCAGGAACCUACUCCUCCACACAUCCAUCGGGGGCUCUGUCAACAGCCCCCGAAGCAGGUGCAGACCUGGAAGACUCCGUUUCAUGGUCUGGCACUUUGGCUCCACACUCAUUUUCUACAUUGCUGCUGCAGCUACUGUUCUCCCUUGUGCUCUCUGAAACCACUGCUGACAGAUCCUGAGUGGCCCCUGGCAAAUAGGUAUUCUCAUUAGUGUAAUGUGUCAGUUAAGAGAACCCAGUUACACUAAUUUUCCUCUUUGGGGAUAUUGUGGGACAUCAGUUAUUAUUUCCUGAUUGUUCCAAUUCAGUAGUUUAGUCUAUUGCAAGGGAUUACAUCAAAGAAUGUUAGUCUUCCCAAAAGCAUUAUUGCCAUUUUUGAUCUACAAAAAGUAUUCUACAUUAAUUUGUUUUUGAUCUAAAAAAGGUAUUCUAUA
Equus quagga is the source of this 1016-nucleotide long non-coding RNA. RefSeq lists it as uncharacterized. The record is from RefSeq and is a predicted model, not a curated record. NCBI's taxonomy places the organism in Eukaryota, Metazoa, Chordata, Mammalia, Perissodactyla, Equidae. The transcript is spliced from 3 exons.